GCCAACCGAAAGCCCCGCAGGUGGAGGGCGCCUCAGGAGCGAAGCUCCGACGGGUGGGGUUUAGCACCAUAUGGAGGGAAAAUAAUUCCGGAUUGAGUAAGGCGGCUCACGACCGCAGGGGCUCCCCCGGCCCAGGCCCCGAGCGGCGCAGCCGGAGCCCGAGCCGCCGCAAAGGUGGCAGCGGCAGCGACAGGAGCCCGAGCAGCCGGUUCCGUAAACUCAUCAGAUCGCGACGCCCUCACGCCCGGAGCCGCCGCGUAGCGAGGUCACGUGGCGCGGAGACGGCUCCGGGAGCGGAUGAAUGUGGAGGAGAGGCCGGGCUCCAAUCCCGCCGUGGGGCAGCGAGCGCGGGGGAGGAACACGUCUUCUACCCUGUACGCCUCGGGCUUCCUUGUCUGGAACGGCCUCUUAACCGGAGGCCCCCCAGAGAGUUCCUGGGGCGGAAUUGGAAAUUGAAGGGAUGCCCAUCAAUUGUAGAAUGGAAUGGAAUAUUAUUGUUCUAUAAGAAAUGAUGAGCAGACUGAUUACAGAAAAAAGCCUGGAUGUUGAGGGAAGUGAGCAGAACCAGGAGAACACUGUACACAGUAACAGCAACAUUGUGAAAUGAUCAAUUGUGAUAGACUUAGCUCUUCUCAGCAAUGCAACCCCAAGGGACCUGUGAUGGAAAAUGCUGACUAGAUGCAGACAAAGAACUAUUGAAAUUGAAUCCAGAUCUAAGCAUACUAUUGUCACUUUUGUUUUGCUUUACUUUGUUUUUUUCUUUCUCAUGGUUUCCCCCUUUUGUUCUGAGUUUUCUUUUACAGCAUGACUAAUACAGAAAUAUGUUUUAACAUGAUUAUGUAUGUCUUAACAAUUGUUUGCUGUCUUAGAGAGGAGGGGAAGGAAGGGAGGGAGGAAGAUAGAAAAAUUUAGUGUUCAAAAUCUUACAAAGAUGGAUGAUGAUUUCUAAAAUAUAGAGAGAAUUGACUCACUUAUAAGAAUAUAAGCCAUUCUUCAAUUGAUAAAUGAUCAAAGGAUAUGAACAGAUAAUUUUCAGAUGAAGAUAUUAAAUCCAUUUCUAAUCAUAUGAAAAAAUACUCUAAAUCACUAUUGAUCAGAGAAACACACAUUAAAACAACUCUAAGGUACUACUACACACCUCUCAAUUUGGUUAAGAAGACAGGAAAAUAUAUUAUUGGUGGGGAUAUGGGACAACUGGGACUCUUAUUACAUUGUUGGUGGAGUUGUGAAAUGAUCUAACCAUUCUGGAAAGUAAUUUGAAACUAUACCCAAACAACUAUCUAACUGUGCAUACCCUUUGUUCCAAUAGUAUCACUAUUGGGUCUGUAUCCUAAAGAUAUUAUUAAAAAGGGAAAAAGACUCACAAGAGCAAAAAUGUUUGUAAAAGUACUUUUUGUAGUGGCGGGGAACUGGAAACUGAGGAUGUCCAUCAGUUGGGAAAUAGCUGAAUAAGUUAUGGUCUAUAAUAGUAUAGAGUGUUAUUGUUGUAUAAGAAAUGAUCAAUAGGCUGAUUUCAGAAAGACCUGGAGAGACUUACACGAAAUGAUGCUAAAUGAAGUGAGUCGAACCAAGAGAACAUUGUACACAACAGCAACAAGAUUAUGUGAUGACCAACUGUAAUGGACUUCACUCUUCAACAAUGAGAUGGUUCAGGCCAGUUCCAAUAGACCUGUGAUGGAGAAAGCUGAGGACUGUGGGGUCUCAAUGUGCAUCACAGCAUCGUAUUUUCACCUUCUUUGUUAUUGUUUGCUUGCUUUUUGUUUUCUUUGUCAUUUUUUCCCUCUUUGAUCCGAUUUUUCUUGUGCAGCAUGAUAAAUGUGGAAAUAUGUAUAGAAAAAUGGCACAUGUUUUAACAUAUGUUGGAUUACUUGCUGUCUAGGGAAAGUGGGGAUAAGGGAGAGAGAAAAAUUUGGAACACAAGGUAUUGCAAGGGUGAAUGUUGAAACUUAUCUUUGCAUAUAGUUUGAAAAUUAAAAGCUAUUAUUUAAAAAUAAAAAUAAUGAAAAUAAAAAAAUAAA
Antechinus flavipes (yellow-footed antechinus) is the source of this 2018-nucleotide long non-coding RNA. RefSeq lists it as uncharacterized. The transcript has 3 exons. The record is from RefSeq and is a predicted model, not a curated record. NCBI's taxonomy places the organism in Eukaryota, Metazoa, Chordata, Mammalia, Dasyuromorphia, Dasyuridae.